RNAcentral lists this long non-coding RNA (10369 nucleotides) under Olea europaea subsp. europaea. Lineage: Eukaryota; Viridiplantae; Streptophyta; Magnoliopsida; Lamiales; Oleaceae. The record is from RNAcentral.
AGAAUAUGAAAAUGGAAUCAUGGAGUCGCACGACAUUUUUCCAACAAAGGUAGAUUUAUACACUAGGACCCUACCCUUGUAACUGACCGUACGUAUUCACUCGAAUAUAAUAGUCUAUAGAAAGUAACGCCGCACGGUGCACUUUGACUGCGGUCUGCUGUCACUUUCUCAAGCCGCAAAACGGAAAUGAACUCUUCCUCCUCCACCGCUGCGGUGAAUGAUCCAAUGCCAGCAACCACCCAUCCUUUAACCACCGAAAUUGACGAUGAUUUCGAAAUGGAGUACGAAGAAGUAGAAGAGGUCGGAAAAGAGGUUGAAAUCGAAGAAGGAAAAGAUGACGACUUUGUAGAAGAUUUAACUCCUAUUCGGGAAGAAAAUAAUCAGAAUGGUUAGUUUUAUACAAUUGAUUUGAAAAUUGAGCUAUUUUUGGGUUGUCAUUAAUUUUUUUCCUGUGGAAAUUUGUGGGAAUUUUAUCUGUUUUAUUUUGAGGAAUGUCGUCGAUACAGUCCGUUUGUAGGGUUUUGAUUUUUAUUUUACACGAAUUUUGUGAUUGUGGGUUUAUGUCAUUUCUAUGUGUGAGCACGAUUUCUGAUUUUAUGGCUUGAUCAUUCAAAAUAGGACGGAUUCUUGAUUUUUUGAGGAUUAUGUUCUUGAUACAACUUAAUUUUUGGGAUUUUUUUUCACGAAUUUCGUGGUUAUUGGUUUAUUUCAUUUAUAUGUGCGACAUUAGAUAUUUACAUUCCGCUGAUGUUAUACGUUCGGAUCAUUCAAAAAUAAAAAUGAACUGGUUCUUGUUAUUAGGAUUAUUAUUUUUUUAAUUAAAUUCUACUUUUGGGUUUUUAUUUAUUUAUUUAUUUUUGUAUGAAUUCUCUGAUUGGGGUCUCUCAUUUCUAUGCAUCUACACAAAUUUAUGGAAAUGCAUAUGAUAUUUAUUUGCUAUCUGAUCAUUCAGAAAAAAAUGGAUUCUUGAUUUAUUGAGGAAUGGUUUUGACAAAAUCUAUUUUUGGACUUUUCUUUUUUCUCAUUUUACAUGAAAUUUUGUCAUUGUGGGGUUCUCUUAUUUCUAUGCACUAACAUGAUUGAUUGGAAAUGCAUAUGAUAUUUAUUUCCCUUAAUUUCUUUGUAAGAACCAUUUUGUUUUUUGUCCAGUUUGGUGAUUCUACAUGCAUGUAUGUUUUUUUUCCUCACCGAUGAUUUUUGUCAUGCAAACAAGUCCCUAUAUAAUUUAAUUGUUGGUAAUUUGAAAUGAACGUUUAAAUGACGCUAAAAAUAGAGCACUGGCAUCUGGACAACCGGCAAAACACGGAGAUGCCAAAGCUGCAUUGAUUGCUCACUGCCAAUCCAUGUAUUUAUUACAUUUGCAUCCUGUGUUCAGCUCCACGCGUCUAAUUUUCUGUGGCACAGGAUGCUUUAGUCGAGCAUUGGCUUUUGACAACUGUCGAGAAGAAGAGACGCCACAAUUGCAUUGACUGUCCACUGUUGAAGUGUUUAAUGUUGCAUGCUGGAACGUUUGUAUGUGAUAGGAGGACUAGUUUCCAUUACAUGUAUAUCUACAUCAUAUAAUAAGUUUAUGAUGUAUCAUUUUGUCGUUACAUUAAUUAACGCACACCUUUAGGAAAGACUUUGGCAGAAUAUAGAUUACAUGAAUCCAGUUCCCUACAAACCAGAUGGGGAUCUAGUGAUUCCAGUGAGGUUCAAAGGAAAUUAUAAAAAGAAAAAGAGCCAACGAAUGGUUUGCAGUUGAAGGAAUGGCAGCUUAACAAGUAGCUGGAACAGAAGAUGCCAUCGGAAAUCUUUAGUUGCACUUACAUUCUGUUGUGCAGUUCAUAUUGGUUCUCGAGUUUUGGAUGCUCUCUCAUGGCUUUAUAUACUUAACAAAUAGUUAUUGCUGUUUCUUUGUCUGUAAAGAACAUACAAAACAUGAUUUUGCAAGCCUGAUUCAUUUGUGGUAACAGUUUUGUUUUGUUUUGUUUUGUUUAUCAUUCUCCUUGAUCUAUUCCAAUAACAACAAUGUCAAUGCACUGUUUCAGGUUUGCCAAUUUAAUGACUUAGUCUUCUAGUUCAAUUGCUUCCACAAUUAUUGGUAAAUUUAUUUUGUUGAGUUGGGAUUCAGUUUAUUUUAUGUAAUUGUUAUAAUAUAAAGUGAGAAAAUAUUGGACCAUUUAAAAGAAUCAAUUCGAUGUAAAUUAGCAGUUAGUAGUUUGUUGGUGUGAAAAUUAAUGAACUGAGAAUAGGAGGGCCAAAAUGGUAUAAAAAUAUACCUUUCCAGGUGUUUAGGACUUCUGUGAAAUAUUUCUGAAAUUGACUUAGAUCUUGGAAAGUUAUAUCUGGACUUACAAGUCCUUUACAUUGUAAAAUAGGACUUAAUGCUUCCUUUUAAGCUUUUUUUGUGAUUAUAUUUGUUCCUUAUUUGUAGAUCCUUGUGGAGAUACAGGUCUUGAAGAGCACAUGAGAUCGGGUUUAAUGACAUCAGGAAAAGAUGUUGCAGAACCACAACCAAAUAUCCCCACUAUACUGGGCAAUACUUGCAAGCUCAACAUUUCAGAGUCAAGUGAGGACAGACCAAAGGUGGAGUCACGUGGCGAUGGUGAGGAUUUCGAGUAUCCUAUAAUGUCAAAAAAUGCUCUCAAGAAAAUCUAUGAAAAUGUUAUGUUUUGUUUGUUUUCUGAGAAGUUUUCUUAGCUCUCCUUGAGUUUUAUCAUUAGAAUCACUAGUUCAGAAAAAUAACCAUAAUGCUUUUGCAGGUAAAAGAACCCUGAAAGACUGAUGAGAAAUCAAUUAGCAGUUUGUUGAUGUGAAAAUUAAUGAACUAAGAAUUGAAGGGAAAAAGUUAAAGAAAUAUGCCUUUUCAGGUGGUUAGGACUUCUAUGAAAUAUUUCUGAAAGUGACUUAGAUCUUAUAAAGUUAUAUCUGGGCUUAUACUGUUCUUUAUGUGUAAAAUGGGACUUAAAUGUUUCCUUUGCUUUAACCUUUUUUCGUGAUUAUUUGUUUCUUCUUCGCAGAUCCUAACAGAGUUACGGGUCCUGAAGAGCACUUGAAAUCCAGUUUAGUGACUUCACGAAAGCAUGCGCAUCCACUACCAAAUAUCCCCAAUAUCCUGGGCAAUACUGGCAGGCCAAAAAUCUUUGAGUCAAGUGAAGACAGACGGAAUACAGAGUCAUGUGGAGAUGGUGAGGAUUUCUAGUGUCCAAUAUUGUCAAAUAAUGCUCUCAAGAUAAACCAUAAAAAUGUUAUUAUUUGAUUGUUUUGUGUAAAUUUUCUUUGCUUUCAGUUUUAUCAUAAGAAUCACUGGUUCAGAAAAAUAACCAUAAGGCUCUUGCAGGUAAAAGAACUCUGAAAGACACUGAUGAAAAACCUUUUUCUGACAGUCGGGGAAUGAAUUCUUUGAACAGCAAAGCUUCUGCUGGAUCAGUCAGCGCUACAACAUCAAUGAUUGAUGCAUCUAGGGAGAAGUUUUAUGGUGCUGAGUAUUUUGCUGCAGUGAACACAAAGCAAAUGUCACAAAGGUAUAACACCUAUUUGAAUUAAUAGUAGUUUUUUCCCCCUUACUAGAGUUGAAUCCUGAUGGUGUCUAUUUUUCAGGCUGAACACUUCCCAGACAAGGCCUAGAGAUUUGUCAUCAAGCACUGAGUUGACAGGUGGGAUUAAAAGACAGAGGAUUGUAUGUGAAUUUCAUUCCAAGGGAUGGUGCAUCAAAGGGAAUACUUGUAGGUUCCUUCAUAUAAAGGAGGGAGCUGUGGAUGCAUCAACUGGACAUAUAACCAGGACGUCUUUUGAUGAUUGGGAACCAUCUGUUCCUUUCCGUCCAUCACACUUCAUCACUGAGAAAUUACUGUCUCAGGCAAAUCUGUGUGACCCCAUUCGUGAUAGCAUUGAGCCAACAAAAGUUAGAGAUGGGGUCUCAAAAAUUUCUGGUGGUGGCGAUCUACAUUCAACCGGAGAUGUUGAUCCAAAGGCGAUCAUAUUGAGUACAAGUCGUGAUUCAGGAAAACUAGGUGAAUCAAUUCACGUGACAGAACCAGACUUGGAUAAAGUCAGUCUAAAGAAUGAGCACAGUGGAUAUCUGCAGAAGGAAUCAAAAGAAAUGAAACAUUUUAGAGCUGUUCUUGUGGAACAUGUUAAGGAUUUGGUAAAACCAACUUGGCUUGAGGGCCUUCUGAGCAAGGACGCUCACAAAUUGGUAGUUAAGAAGGCAGUCGACAAAAUUCUGAGCUCAUUUCAACCACCGCAUCAGAUUCCUAGCACGGGUGAAUCAAUUAAGUCCUAUCUUUAUGUGUCUCAGCCCAAAAUUGAAAAGCUAGUUGAGGUAGUGCUUAUAAUUACACUGAUAUAUAUACUGAGACAGACUGAUUGAUAUAAACUAUUUUCACAUUUGACAUUUGGUUAUUACUAUUGCAGGGAUACAUGGAGAAGUAUGGGAAAUGUUGAAAUGGCUUUCUGGUUGUUCUUUCUAGCAUAUCCUGUACCAUGCCAACUGGAAGUUCUGAACCAUUGUUCGUGGAUUAUCAAGCUUUUCUUAGGCUAAGACUGGGACUACUGAAAUGCUUUUGAUUCUCAGAUGUCCAGUUUUAUGGAUAAAACUUUGACCCCCCUUAUACGUGGGAGUGUAAGUGUUUUGUCUAAACUCUAUAUGACUUUAAUUUUCUAUCCUUUGUAUCAUGUUGACUUUGCAAAUAGAGACUGGAUUUUCUUUGUAGCUGGCUUUUGAGGUAGCCUUAAAAUUGGUGAAAUUUUAGAGUGGUUAGAGCAUGCAAUAGAAGACGAGUUAGCAAGCGAAGUGACCAAUGAGUAUUAGGUCCUAGCAAUGAGGCCCUUUUGAUUUCUCCUUGAGUUGGAGUGGUCAGAAAAGAGAAUACUCUCUUUACCCAUGAGAAACAAUUUAAUACUAAUUGAAUGCUUGUUUUAAGGUCAACUCUUGGGGGGGGGGGGGGGGGGUUAUCCUAGAGGUGUCGAACCAGGCAAGCACACCUGGAAAUAGCUCAGACUGUUAAAUGGGCUGAGCCUGUUCCUGGGCGGCAAGCCUAAUAGGUGGGCCGAUCCGGCCAGUCCUGUAGUAUUUCACAGAAGUAAAAAUAAAAAUAAAAAAUAAAAAGAAACUCCAAUUAAAUUUGCAAUGAUUAAAUCUGAUUUGGAAUUGUUAAUGAAUAACUUAAUUCUUUUAUUAGAUUUCCAAGGUGUUAGCAUGCCUUGAUUACAAUUUCAUGGUAGAAUUAAUGCCGUGCAACAUAAAUCAAAGUGUUAAUGCCUCGAUUUAGGCUGUUCGAAAAAAUUGUAUGAUUUAAUUAUGACAUUAACAUCUUGCUACUAGGCUCCCACGUUUACAUAAAUUUGCUUGAUUUAAGGGAAAAAUUAGGUUGUGCUCCACAACUUUUCAUGUGUUGUAGUUAUGGAUACUCAACCUUCAAAAGUGAAAUUCUAAGUCCCAACCUAUUUAAAUAUCUAAAUCUGGAUCCCACGUGAUCGAAAACGUCAAUAUGUUCAAAUCGCACACGACCAUCAUUGACUCUAAACUAUAUGGCCAAACAAUUAUCUCCCAUGGAAUUGAAAUUUGCAUGUGAUUUUAGCCUCUACAUUAAUGAUUUUGGUUAUGUAGUACCUAAAUUCUUAAAUUUAAAUAGGUUGGGUACAUAGAACCUUACUUUGAAGGUUCAGGACUCAUAACACCGCCACGUGAAAGUUUGGGGAGCUUAACAUCAUUUUUCUUUUAGCUCUUUUUUGAGCCCCAUUCUUUUCGUAAGAAUGAAUUUUUGAAUAGUGUAUUGAUGGGAAAUGUGUGGUUAAAAAAGAAAGAAAAGUUUUGGGUUUAAGUGUAAUAUUAUUUUAUUGAAAAAUGUGCGGUUGAAAUGAUGUUAAAACACUGUUUAAGAAUAUUUUUUUUUCGAAGAAUAGAGCUCAAACAAGGGCUUAAUUUAAUACCCCAUUUCAAUAUAUAAUAAAUUUAAUUCUAAAAUUAAAAAAACUAUCAUUUUGGCAAUUAGAUCGAAUUGCCCCCAAAUUUGGAUGGACCAAUAGGUGGUUUAAGCUUUUAAAAAAAUUUAAAACACGAACUUCGGCAUGUUCGAGCUGUGCCGACUUGAGAAAUGAGGCGGGUCUAUCUGAACUGAGCCGCCCAUUUUGACAUGUCUAUUCGAAAUGAAAAGGUGCCCCCAAUGAACAUGAUUCGAAGAACGAGUGUUACUCUGGCACUAGGAGGUUGGAGGCAACUAAAAAUUAGUUGUCUCCAACAAAAAAUUUUGACAACUUCAUACAUGAAUUCUCAAUUAGCAAGUUGUCAACACAAUGCACUACAAGUGACAUCACAUUUGGAAUAGCGUCUUUAAUUUUUAAUGAGUGUUAAUGUGAUGAGUUGUCAAACUUUUAAUGAGGGGACAACAUACACUCACUCCCCCGUAUGGCUUAAUGAAGCCUACAUUUAUGGCUUAAUACACCUUGCAUUUGAUGCAAAUUAAAUGUAAAAUUUGAAAUCAUUUCCAUGUUAAAAGGAAAAAAUCUAUUAAUUGUUAUUUAUAAUCGCACUCACUAUUCACAAUGGUUUAGCCUCCGUUUGGAUUCCAAUUGAUAAAUAGUAGGUAGUUCAAUUAAAGUCCAAAAUUAACUUCAAUUACACAUAUUAUCUACAUAUUUCGUAAGAUUCAUUGCUAUUCGUAUUUAUAAAUCAUAAAUUUUCUAAGAUGAGGCUUAGCCCCCGGUUGAAAUAGUGUUUUUUUUUUUUUUUAAAUGUGUGGUUGAAAAGGAAUAAAAAGUUUUUGAUUUGUGUAUAAUAUUAUUUUAUAGAAGAUUGUGUGGUUGAAAAUAAGAGAGAGAAAAAAAAUGAAAAAGAGAAUGGAGGCCAAACAUGGGCUUAAUGUACAUGAAAUUUAUUAAUUUUUAAAUUGAUUGCAUUUUUUUUUGUAAGGGCUAAAGUGCACUUUCCAUCUGCAACCAUUUUUUGUCACAAUUUUACCCCAAUCUUCCAUUAAUUAGCAUUUCUCAGUCCUUGAUAAUCAUUUUUGUCCAAAUUCCUGUUACAGUAAUGUAAAAAGAUGAUUUUACCCUCCAUCAUUGAUGACGGUUUUUGUCCAAAAAUUCUAUUACAGUAGUUUAAAUAAACAAAAAUUGAAUAUAAAAGAGUAAAUAAUAAGAUGGAUUUUGGAUUUUUUUUAAGAAUGUUGAUACGGUCAAUAUUUUUUUCCCCACAAAUUUCGUAGUUAUGGGUUUAUCUCAUUUAUAUGUAUGAUGCAUUAGAUAUUUAGAAGGCUGACCUCAAUUAUGAUUUUAAUAAAUUUUAAAAUGAUCAUAAAUUUUACUGAAUUUCAUGAAUUUAAAUAGAUGUGUACAGAAUACAUAAGAAUCUCGUUAAAAAUGGUCUAAUUUCAAAAGGGUUUGUUAUGUGUAUUUUUAGGAUUGAAAUUCAUCUAGAUCUCUUGAAACCCCUUUAUUAAUGAAAUCCUUAUAAAUCUUUAUUGAGGACACCUAGAUUUUAAUGGAUUUAAUGAAAUUAAUUAGAAUUUCAGUUGAUUACACCUAGAUUUCAUCAGAUUUUAAUAUAAUCCAUUAAAAUCUCUAUUGGGGACACCUGAAUUUAAAAGGACUUUUAAAAUUCACUAAAUUCUCAGUUGAGGUCGUUGUUAUUUUCCGCUAAUGUUUUGUGUUGUACAUUUUGAUUAUUCAAAAUUAAAAAUAAAAUGGUUCUUAUUUUUGGGUGAAUGUUUUUCAUAAAUUCUAUCUUGAGCUUGUUUUAAAUGAAGUCUGUGAUUGUGGGGUUUUUCUCAUUUCUAUGUAUCCACCAAUUUUAUGGGAUUGCAUAUGAUAUUUAUUUGCUAAGCUCUACCAAAAUAAAAAGAAUUCUUGAUACGGUUUGACAUAAUCUAUUUUUGGGCUUCUCUUUUUUCAUGUUCUACAUGAAUUUUUUGACUGUAGGUUUCUCCUCUCUCUCUCUCUCUCUCUCUCUCUCUCUCUAUUUAUUUAUUUUUUAAUUUUAUGAACGGACACAAUUGUGUGGACAUGCAUACAAAUUUGCCUUGAUUUUUUUCUAAGAACUUUUUUUUUUAAUUUUUUAUUUUUGUCAAAUUUCGUGAUUCUGCAUGUGCGUAUUGGUUUUCCUCACUGGUGAUUUAUGUCAUGCACGUAAGUUCCUGUACAAUUUGAAUGCUGUUAAUUUGAAAAUGAAAGUUUAAAUGACCCUAAAAGUAGAGCAUUUGCUCUGGACAAGCAGCAGAAUGCAGAGAUAUCGCAAGGGCUUUGAUUGCUCACUGCUAAUGCAUGUAUUUAUUGCAUUUUCAUCCCAUCUUCAGCGCAUUAAGUCUAAUUUGCAGUAGUGUAUGGCAUUGACCUUUUGACAACUGUCUAGAAGAAGAGAUGCCACAAUUGCGUUGACUAUCCACUGUUGAAGUGUUCGAUAUUGCAUGCUGGAACCUUUUUAGGUGAUCAGAGGAUUAGUUUCCAUUACCUCGUGUAUAUCUACAUCAUAUAAAGUCAUGUUGAAUCAUUUUGUCAUUAUACUAAUUUACACGCGCCUUGAAGGAAAGACGGGGGCAGAAUAUACUAUACAUUAAUAUAGCUCCAUGCAAGUCAAUUGGUUCUUUGGCUGUGAAGAACAAUACAAAACGUGAUUUUUCAAAGCGUGAUUCUUUAGUCGUAAAAGUUUCCUUUCUGUUUUGUUUAACAUUCUCCUUAAUCUGUUCCAGUAACAACAAUAUGAAUGUACUAUUACAGUGACUUAGUCUCCUAGUUCAAGUGCUUCCAGAAUUAUUGGUAAAUUUAUUUUGUUGUGUUGAGAAUUCAGUUUAGUUUAUGUAACAAUUAUAAUAUAAAAUGAAGAAAGUAUUCUAGAAUUCAAGUACUUACUUCUAUUUAAAUUAGUAAUUAGUAGUUUGUGAUGUGAAAAUUAAUAAACUAAGAAGGGAAAAAUUGAAGAAGAUGUCGUUUCAGGUAGUUAGGACUUUUAUUAAAUAUUUCUGAAAGUGACUUAGACCUUAGAAAGUUAUAUCUGGACUUACACUGUUAUCUGGACUUACACUGUCCUUUACAUAGUAAAAUAGGACUUAAAUGUUUCCUUUUCUUUUAGCUUUUUUUGUGAUUAUAAUUUUUCUUCUUUUUAGAUCAUAGCCGAGUUUCGGGUCCUGAAGAGCGCUUGAGAUCAGCUUUAAGAGAUCAGCUUUAAUGACUUCAGGAAAAGAUGUUGCAGAUCCACCACCAAAUAUCCCCGCUAUCAUGGGCAAUACUGGGAGGCUCAACAUCUUGUAAUCAAAUGAAGACAGACCAAAGGUGGAGUCACGUGACGAUGGUGAGGAUUUCAAGUAUCCAAUGAUGUCAAUUGUCAAAUAAUGCUCUCAAGAAAAUUCGUAAAAAUGUUAUGAUUUGUUUGUUUUAUGUAAAGUAUUAUAGAAUUUAAUAAUUACUUUGAUAUAAAUUAGCAAUUAGUAGUUUGUUGAUGUGAAAAUUAAUGAUCUAGGAGGGCAAAAAUCAAAGAUGUCUUUUCAGGUGGUUAUGACUUUCAUAAAAUAUUUCUUAAAGUGAAUUAGAUUUUAGAAAUUUAUAUCUGAACUUAUACUGUCCUUUAGAAAGUAAAAUAGGACUCAAAUGUUUCCUUUUCUUUUAGCUUUUUUUGUGAUUAUUAUUUUUUCUUCUUUUUAGAUCCUAGCCUAGUUUCGGGCCCUGAAGAGCACUUGAGAUCAGGUUUAAUGACUUAAGGAAAAGAUGUUGCAGAGCCACCACCAAAUACCCCAUUACCCUGGGCAACACUGGCAAGCUCAACAUUUUGGAGUCAAGUGUAGACAGACCAAAGAUGGAGUUACGUGGUGAUGUGAGGAUUUCGAGUAUCUAAUAAUGUCAAAUAAUGCUCUCAAGAAAAUCCAUAAAAAUGUUAUGAUUUGCUUGUUUAGAAAAUUUCGUUUAGCUCUCUUGUGGUGGUGAUCCACAUUCGACAGGAGACAAUGAUUUAAAGGCUAUCAUAUUGAGUUCUAAAUGUGAUUCAGGAAAACAAGGUGAACAAAUGCACAAAACAGAAAUAGAAGUAGAUGAAUCAGGCAAAAGCCUCGGAUUGAUAUUGACUUUAAGAACAGUGGAUAUCAGCAGAAGGAAUCUGAGGAACCCUGACAUUUUUUAGCUGUCCUUGUGGAAGAAUAUGUUAAGGACUUGGCUCGAGGGCCUGUUGAGCAAGGACGCACGAAAAGUGACAGUUAAGGCACUUGACAAAUUCAUAGCCCAUUUCGACCUCACCAUAUUCCCAGCAUGGGCAUAUCAAUUGAGUCAUUUAUUAAUGCGUUUUGGGCAAAACUUCAAAAGCUAGUUGAGGUUAGUUAUUUUGAGUUACACGAUUAUAUGUUCUGAGGAAGACUUAUUGUAUAAACUAUUUUGCCUUUGACAUUUGGUUAUUAUUAUUACACAA